This 1306-nucleotide long non-coding RNA is filed under the name Anas platyrhynchos platyrhynchos (common mallard). RNAcentral's name for it is "lncRNA (ENSAPLG00000023839.1)". The record is from RNAcentral. Lineage: Eukaryota; Metazoa; Chordata; Aves; Anseriformes; Anatidae.
UGGAGCCUUGAGAACAAGAUCUCAGGUAAACACCCUGCCUAUGAGACCUGUAAGAAAAAACACCAUGAAACAACAACAGAAAACAAUACAAGAACUGCCACACAGUGGAUACUUCAGCCAUGACAAAUUCCCUUUGAAGAUUUGGGCUUGUUAUGUGGCUGGGUUCCCUGUCACCCCGCAGUGACUGGGAGUCAGCUGGCCUGGGCAACACCUACUUGUGCACAUGAGAUGUGUACGCAGCUCACCACUGAAAGUUUCAGGCUGAUGAGGCUUACAGGGCUUCUUACUCCAGUUUUCAAUGUGAAAAUGUGGAAGAGAAAGUGAAACACAUCUUAUUAUUACCUUCCUUCUCUAUGGCAAGCUAUCCCAGAGGAGCCCUGAGAAGCGGAGGGUUGACAUUUACAGAUAACUGCUCCUGGAGUUCCUCAAGAGUGUGCUUAAAACACACCUCUUAUUUUAUGCAUUUCUGUGUUUUGGAAUAAUGUGGAAUUUUUGGAAUAACGUGGAAUUUUUGGAAUAAAUUCUGAGCACAACAAAUGCAACACAUCACCAUGUUUCAAUCCAAAUAGAUGAACACACAUGCAGAAACAAGCUUUAAAAAAAAAAAUAAAUUUAUUAAAAAAAAAAAAACAGCACUGUGUGCUCAGCACUAUGAAGAGAAGUCAUCAGCCAAACCUGAAGAGGAGGAUAUAGUACUCCAGCAAAAGCAGCUGAACUUGUAACAGUCACCAGCUGGCACACAUUGAAAUAGCUCAGCCUCAGUCUCCAGCUGAGAUCCAGCACAGCUGAUCUUGGUGUAGGGCAUAAAUCUGCACAGAGCUCCCAGAUGCUCCUUCUGUGCUGGGGGUAGUUGUACUUGAUCCUAUGGGCUUGGGAAGGUCUUGGCAAAUGUGGAAUUUUUCUCCUUUUGCAGAGCUAGAAUCCUCCUUUGGCUCUGGAACAGGGGUGUGGGUUAAAGCAAGCUUUGCCUACACUGCAAGGACCAUAUGUCUGAGGUUGCCAUACAUAAUUCGUUGAUGGUUUUUGCAGUUCAAAGUGGCUGAAGUGUCACUGUGGCACACUGACACUAUCCAUGGCAAAAUGCAGCUGGAGCCUAGAGAAGGAUGUGCCUUCACCAGGGCAUUUACCAGCACUGCUCAGAGCUUCAGCAAGAUAGAAAAGCCAGAGUACAAUGGUGUGUUAGAUGUGCCCAGAUCCUGGGCUUAUCUUGUACUUUAAGAUAAAGAGAAGAAACUGUCCCAUGGAGUGGUUGUAAAAGCCAGUUGGAGGAAAUAAAGGAUGCAAAGGGAAAUUGAAAGCUUUGCUG